Molecule: ribosomal RNA, 773 nt
Filed under: uncultured prokaryote
Description: bacterial SSU rRNA
Rfam family: Bacterial small subunit ribosomal RNA
Source: RNAcentral
GAUGAACGCUGACAGAAUGCUUAACACAUGCAAGUCGAUUCGAUUUACCUUCGGGUAUUGAGGAUGGCGGACGGGUGAGUAACGCGUAAGGAACUUGCCUCUUGGUCUGGGACAACUGUUGGAAACGACAGCUAAUACCGGAUAUUAUGAGAUUCUCGCAUGGGAAACUUAUGAAAGCUAUAUGCGCCAAGAGAGAGCCUUGCGUUCCAUUAGCUAGUUGGUGGGGUAACGGCCCACCAAGGCGACGAUGGAUAGCCGGCCUGAGAGGGUGAACGGCCACAAGGGGACUGAGACACGGCCCUUACUCCUACGGGAGGCAGCAGUGGGGAAUAUUGGACAAUGGGCCACAAGCCUGAUCCAGCAAUUCUGUGUGCACGAUGAAGGUCUUCGGAUUGUAAAGUGCUUUCAGUUGGGAAGAAGAAAGUGACGGUACCAACAGAAGAAGCGACGGCUAAAUACGUGCCAGCAGCCGCGGUAAUACGUAUGUCGCAAGCGUUAUCCGGAUUUAUUGGGCGUAAAGCGCGUCUAGGCGGAAAAAUAAGUCUGAUGUUAAAAUGCGGGGCUCAACUCCGUAUUGCGUUGGAAACUGUUUUUCUAGAGUACUGGAGAGGUGGGCGGAACUACAAGUGUAGAGGUGAAAUUCGUAGAUAUUUGUAGGAAUGCCGAUGGAGAAGUCAGCUCACUGGACAGAUACUGACGCUAAAGCGCGAAAGCGUGGGGAGCAAACAGGAUUAGAUACCCUGGUAGUCCACGCCGUAAACGAUGAUCACUAG